UCUUGCCCUGCUCUUUUCCGCGAUGACUUAGGUUCAAAGACUGUCCAUAGGCGUAAUGUUAAUUAUGCCAUUUGGGAGGGGCAAUUUCCCUAUUUGCCCUCCCCUGGAUCCGCCACUGUCCAGAAUGGCAAUUAAAUCAAAAGGAUUUGUUCAAACUUAAAUGCUUAAUCUUAUUUGUUGUCACAAAACAUGCUGUUACGAAAAUGAAGCAUGUACCAGGGCCCAGGCACUAC
Molecule: unclassified non-coding RNA, 233 nt
Filed under: Amphibalanus amphitrite
Lineage: Eukaryota; Metazoa; Arthropoda; Thecostraca; Balanomorpha; Balanidae
Description: transmembrane protein 17-like, transcript variant X2
Source: RNAcentral